This 253-nucleotide ribosomal RNA is filed under the name uncultured bacterium. RNAcentral describes it as "partial 16S ribosomal RNA". It matches the Rfam family "Bacterial small subunit ribosomal RNA", at positions 524 to 776 of the family's 1533-position model. The record is from RNAcentral.
UACGAGUGCCCUAAGCGUUAUCCGGAAUCAUUGGGCGUAAAGGGUGUGUAGGUGGUUAUGUUAGUCUCAUGUUAAAUUCUUCGGCUCAACCGGGGGUCUGCGUGGGAAACGGCAUAACUCGAGGAUAGGAGAGGUGUGUGGAACUCAUAGUGUAGGGGUGAAAUCCGUUGAUAUUAUGGGGAACACCAAAUGCGAAGGCAGCACACUGGCCUACUCCUGACACUGAAACACGAAAGCGUGGGUAGCGAAUGGG